This 288-nucleotide long non-coding RNA is filed under the name Phoenix dactylifera (date palm). RNAcentral describes it as "long non-coding RNA (PDAC_LNC014990)". The record is from RNAcentral. Lineage: Eukaryota; Viridiplantae; Streptophyta; Magnoliopsida; Arecales; Arecaceae.
GAGAUGAAAUAAAAUAUUCAUUAAGAACAAAAUAAAGUUUAUACAAUUUCAAGAAUAAAAAUAAAAAAUAAAACCCUUGGCCCUUUGUUAGGGCUGCAUCCAGCCCUAGUAAAGGAAUCAGCCCUGCAUGGUAUGGGAGGUGGUAGCGGCGACGCUAAAGGCUUCCAUCUCUUCUUUCCUUCCUUCACUGAUUCUUUCCUCCCUUAUGUUGGAACUCCCUGAUGAACAAGCCACAGACUUCUUCGGAUCAGAAAAGAGCUGCCCCUUCAGGAGAAUAACUCUUCCUUU